GUUGCCCGAAGCCCGGGGUGCGCUGCGGAGCGCUCCCCGGGUUUCGGGCUGCAGGCUGCUAUCCGCAAGCCUUGGGAGCCCAACGGGAACUCCCGCGGAGCUCCCAAGGCUUGCGGAUAGCUUCCUGAAGCCUGGAGAGCGAGAGGGGUUGGUGCGCACCGACCCCUCUCACUCUC
Podarcis lilfordi (Lilford's wall lizard) is the source of this 176-nucleotide non-coding RNA. The record is from the annotation of a GenBank genome assembly. Lineage: Eukaryota; Metazoa; Chordata; Lepidosauria; Squamata; Lacertidae.